GGCUCAGGACGAACGCGGGCGGCGUGCUUAACACAUGCAAGUCAAGGGGGUCCGUAGCAAUACGGGCAACCGGCGAACGGGUGCGUAACACGUGAGCAACCUGCCGCGCUCUGGGGGAUAGCCGGCCCAACGGCCGGGUAAUACCGCAUACGUUCUUUGGGGGGAGUCUCCUGAAGAAGAAACCUCCGGGGGAGCGCGAGGGGCUCGCGGCCUAUCAGCUAGUUGGCGGGGUAACGGCCCACCAAGGCAGUGACGGGUAGCUGGUCUGAGAGGAUGGCCAGCCACAUUGGGACUGAGAAACGGCCCAGACUCCUACGGGAGGCAGCAGUGGGGAAUCUUGCGCAAUGGUCGAAAGACUGACGCAGCGACGCCGCGUGUGGGAGGACGCCCUUCGGGGUGUAAACCACUGUUGCCCGGGACGAAACUCCUCUUUCGAGAGGACUGACGGUACCGGGUGAGGAAGCACCGGCUAACUCCGUGCCAGCAGCCGCGGUAAUACGGAGGGUGCGAGCGUUGUCCGGAAUCACUGGGCGUAAAGGGCGCGUAGGCGGCGCGGAAAGUCGUCGGUGAAAGCUCAGGGCUCAACUCUGAGUCUGCCGGUGAUACUCCCGCGCUCGAGCUCACUAGAGGCAGAUGGAAUUCCGGGUGUAGCGGUGGAAUGCGUAGAGAUCCGGAAGAACACCGGUGGCGAAGGCGGUCUGCUGGGGUGAGGCUGACGCUGAUGCGCGACAGCGUGGGGAGCAAACAGGAUUAGAUACCCUGGUAGUCCACGCCGUAAACGAUGGGCACUAGGUGCUUGGGGGAGCGACCCCUUGAGUGCCGGCGCUAACGCAUUAAGUGCCCCGCCUGGGGAGUACGGCCGCAAGGCUGAAACUCAAAU
RNAcentral lists this ribosomal RNA (880 nucleotides) under uncultured bacterium. RNAcentral describes it as "bacterial SSU rRNA". It matches the Rfam family "Bacterial small subunit ribosomal RNA", at positions 21 to 906 of the family's 1533-position model. The record is from RNAcentral.